Non-coding RNA from Podarcis lilfordi (Lilford's wall lizard), 75 nucleotides. NCBI's taxonomy places the organism in Eukaryota, Metazoa, Chordata, Lepidosauria, Squamata, Lacertidae. The record is from the annotation of a GenBank genome assembly.
GGAAGAGCCAUAGUUCAGUGGUAGAGCAUCUGCUUUGCAUUUAGGAGGUCCCAGGUUCAAUCCCUCAGCUCUCCA